AACGAACGCUGGCGGCAGGCCUAACACAUGCAAGUCGAACGAGAUCUUCGGAUCUAGUGGCGGACGGGUGAGUAACGCGUGGGAACGUGCCCUUCUCUACGGAAUAGUCCUGGGAAACUGGGUUUAAUACCGUAUACGCCCUUCGGGGGAAAGAAUUUCGGGGAAGGAUCGGCCCGCGUUGGAUUAGGUAGUUGGUGGGGUAAUGGCCUACCAAGCCGACGAUCCAUAGCUGGUUUGAGAGGAUGAUCAGCCACACUGGGACUGAGACACGGCCCAGACUCCUACGGGAGGCAGCAGUGGGGAAUCUUAGACAAUGGGGGCAACCCUGAUCUAGCCAUGCCGCGUGGGGGAGGAAGGUUUUGGAUCGUAAACCCCUUUUGUCAAGGAGAAGCUCUGACGGUACUUGACGAAUAAGCCUGGCUAACUCCGUGCCAGCAGCCGCGGU
This 445-nucleotide ribosomal RNA is filed under the name uncultured bacterium. RNAcentral describes it as "bacterial SSU rRNA". It matches the Rfam family "Bacterial small subunit ribosomal RNA", at positions 29 to 521 of the family's 1533-position model. The record is from RNAcentral.